Molecule: ribosomal RNA, 1971 nt
Filed under: human gut metagenome
Description: bacterial LSU rRNA
Rfam family: Bacterial large subunit ribosomal RNA
Source: RNAcentral
UUAAGCUACAAAGGGCAUAUGGUGGAUGCCUAGGCGUUCCGAGCCGAUGAAGGACGCGAUAAGCUGCGAUAAGUCAUGGGGAGCCGCAAGUAGGCUUUGAUCCAUGAAUCUCCAAAUGGGGCAACCCGAUACGAGUCAUGUCGUAUCAUCCAUGUGUGACAUGGAAGGCACACCCGGUGAACUGAAACAUCUAAGUAGCCGGAGGAAGAGUAAUCAAACGAGAUUCCCUCAGUAGCGGCGAGCGAACAGGGAAGAGCCCAAACCGGACGUCUUCGGACGACCGGGGUUGAGGACCAGCAUCAAGGGAAGGCAAGAUAGUCGAACAGUCUGGGAAGGCUGAGCAUAGACGGUGAAACUCCGGUAGACGAAAUCUUACCCAACGGGCUGGUAUCCAGAGUACCACGAGACACGUGAAACCUUGUGGGAAGCAGGGUGGACCACCAUCCAAGGCAAAAUACUACGGAACGACCGAUAGCGCAUAGUACCGUGAGGGAAAGGUGAAAAGAACCGCGGGAGCGGAGUGAAAUAGAACCUGAAACCGUAUGUCUACAAGCAGUCGAAGCACUUUAUAUGUGCGACGGCGUGCCUAUUGAAGAAUGAACCGGCGAGUUAAUUUCAGAGGCGAGGUUAAGCGGGAGACGCGGAGCCGAAGCGAGAGCGAGUCUGAAUAGGGCGCAAGUCUCUGGGAUUAGACCCGAAACCACAGUGAUCUAUGCAUGGCCAGGUUGAAGCUCAGGUAAAAAUGAGUGGAGGACCGAACCCGUGAGUGUUGAAAAACUUUGGGAUGAGCUGUGCAUAGGGGUGAAAUGCCAAUCGAACGUGGAGAUAGCUGGUUCUCCCCGAAAUAGCUUUAGGGCUAGCCUCAGGUAACACAUGGAGACGGUAGAGCACUGAUCGGGUAAGGGAGCGUAAAGCUUACCGAGCCUAGUCAAACUGCGAAUGGCUUCAUGAGAAGAGCCUGGGAGUCAGAAUGCGAGUGAUAAGACCCGUAUUCAAAAGGGAAACAGCCCAGAUCGCCGACUAAGGUCCCAAAUGCUGUACUAAGUGGAAAAGGAUGUAGGACUUCCAAAACAACCAGGAUGUUGGCUCAGAAGCAGCCACCAUUCAAAGAGUGCGUAAUAGCUCACUGGUCGAGAGGCCCUGCGCCGAAAAUAUCCGGGGCUCAAGUACAGAACCGAAGUCGCGGGAUGCGCAAGCAUCGGUAGGGGAGCGUUCCAAGCAGGUUGAAGGCAGACCGGAAGGACGGCUGGACAGCUUGGAAGUGAGAAUGCUGGUAUGAGUAGCGAAACGAUCCGUGAGAAUCGGAUCCACCGAAAGCCUAAGGGAUCCUGAGCAACGCUCGUCGUCUCAGGGUAAGUCGGGACCUAAGCCGAGGCAUAAAGCAUAGGCGAUGGACAACAGGCGAAAAUUCCUGUACUGCAUGAUGUUGUUUGAGGAUGGAGUGACACAGCAAGGAGCUUGAGCGCGCGAUUGGAAAUGCGCGUCGAAGGCGGUAGGCUGGUAUAGAGGCAAAUCCCUGUACUAAGGCCGAGAACUGAUAGAUAGGAGCGUACUUCGGUACAAUCCGAAUUCAAGCGUACUACACUGUCGAGAAAAGCUUCUAACGAGACAUCAUGUACCCGUACCAAAACCGACACAGGUAGGCGGGGAGAGAAUCCUAAGGUGCGCGGGAAAACCCUCGUUAAGGAACUCGGCAAAAUGCAUCCGUAACUUCGGGAGAAGGAUGGCCGGAGCUGGUGAAGACCUUCGCGGUUGGAGCUGGAGCCGGCGGCAGAAGAGAAGCCCAAGCGACUGUUUACCACAAACACAGGUGCCUGCUAAAGAGAAAUCUGACGUAUAGGUGCUGACACCUGCCCGGUGCUGGAAGGUUAAGAGGAGAGGUUAUUCGCAAGAAGAAGCUUUGAAUUGAAGCCCCAGUAAACGGCGGCCGUAACUAUAACGGUCCUAAGGUAGCGAAAUUCCUUGUCGGGU